GAUGAACGCUGGCGGCACGCCUAACACAUGCAAGUCGAACGGAACCUAGAAGUGCUUGCACUUCGAAAGUUUAGUGGCGGACGGGUGAGUAACACGUGAGCAACCUGCCUUUCAGAGGGGAAUAACGUUUGGAAACGAACGCUAAUACCGCAUAAAAUAGUUUUAUGGCAUCAUAGAAUUAUCAAAGAUUUAUCGCUGAAAGAUGGGCUCGCGUCUGAUUAGAUAGUUGGUGAGGUAAUGGCUCACCAAGUCGACGAUCAGUAGCCGGACUGAGAGGUUGAACGGCCACAUUGGGACUGAGACACGGCCCAGACUCCUACGGGAGGCAGCAGUGGGGGAUAUUGCACAAUGGGGGAAACCCUGAUGCAGCGAUGCCGCGUGAGGGAAGAAGGUUUUCGGAUUGUAAACCACUGUCUUUAGGGAAGAAAGAAAUGACGGUACCUAAGGAGGAAGCCACGGCUAACUAUGUGCCAGCAGCCGCCGCAGUAAU
Molecule: ribosomal RNA, 490 nt
Filed under: uncultured Oscillospiraceae bacterium
Lineage: Bacteria; Bacillati; Bacillota; Clostridia; Eubacteriales; Oscillospiraceae
Description: bacterial SSU rRNA
Rfam family: Bacterial small subunit ribosomal RNA
Source: RNAcentral